AUGGCUGGAAUCAGGCUGACGCCCGAGGAGCCUGAGCUGCCGCAGGGCACUCCGCCCCGCCCCCAGCUGCCGCUCCCCGUCGCCGGCUCCGGCGUCACAGCGGGCGGCGGCGGCAGCGGUGGCCUGGAGAUGGCUUCGGACGACGAGCGGUCAGUGGCAGCGGACUCGUGGUCCGUGCGGAGCGAGUACGGGAGCACGCUAGACGAUGACCAGCGCUACGCCGACGCUGCCGAUGUGCUCGCCGCGGCGGCGGCCGCCGGGAACUUCCCCUCCGCUGCCUCUGAUUACUGUUCUGACAAAGAUGACCAAGAUCCUAAUGAGGAAGGCUCAAUGUUGGGGCUACAAAGUUAUUGGGAUGCUUCUUAUUCUGAAGAUCUCGCAAAUUUUCAGGAACACGGCCAUGCUGGAGAAAUAUGGUUUGGUGCAGAUGUAAUGGAUACUGUUGCCAUUUGGACAAAAAAAUUGUGUGUAAGCUUUUUCCAAGGUGGACUUUCAUCGGCUAAUGACAACAUCAAAUUUGAAGUUGAUGAUAAACACUUGUUUGACUACCCCGUGCUCGAUCUUGGAACUGGCAACGGCCUCCUUCUGCAAGCACUUGCCAAGCAGGGGUUUUCAGAUUUAACAGGAACUGAUUACAGUGAAGGAGCCAUUGAACUUGCAAGAAACCUUGCUGCUCGUGAUGGGUUCACUACUAUAAGUUUUUUGGUCGAUGAUGUACUUGAGACAAAGUUAGACAGGAAAUUCAAAAUUAUUACAGAUAAAGGGACAUUGGAUGCCAUUGGAUUGCAUCCAGAUGGCCGUGCAAAAAGAGUGAUGUAUUGGGAAUCUAUAUCAAACUUGGUUGAACCAGGUGGCCUUGUGGUCAUAACAUCAUGUAAUCACACAAAGGAUGAGCUUCUGCAAGAAGUAGAAGAGUUCGGUAUGCGGAAAUUUGGUAAGGAGGACACAGACAGAGGUGCAGGUGAUUCGCACCAGAUCUUCCGAUACUUGGAUCAUGUCCAAACGUAUCCUACCAUCAUGUUUGGCGGAGUUGAGGGGUCUCAAGUGUGCACCUUGGCUUUCCAACGGGCGUGA
RNAcentral lists this ribosomal RNA (1074 nucleotides) under Triticum aestivum (bread wheat). Its description in RNAcentral is "partial small subunit ribosomal RNA". Lineage: Eukaryota; Viridiplantae; Streptophyta; Magnoliopsida; Poales; Poaceae. The record is from RNAcentral.